CUGGGUUAGCGCGCCCACGCGGACCCGAUGGUAGGACAGGUCACAGCUGAGCCGAUGAGAUCAUGGAGGCUGCGCGGAGGUCGGACGGGAUACGGCCGACGGGACUGAGCGGUGAUGGAGAGCUGCUUGUCCGAAUCCAUGAUGACCUGCAGUGUAACUGAAAAUCCGAGACAUCUUGCCUAUGUCACUUGGAGCCUCACUGCCAACAGCCUCAUAUUUUCUUCACAACAGACUAAAUAAGUCUCAAUUCCUGCACAGUCAGCCAUGGACAAGUGAAUAGUGAGCUGUGAAUAAGUGCCCUUUAUUACUCCCAUUGCUUAUUCUUAUUCCACAAAUGGAUAGCCCAGUUUUCCUGUCUGUGACAAUUUGCUUCCAGAUGUUAUAUUUUGCCAUACAACCAUGCCUUUAAACAUAAGAGCCAAGCCCUCGCACGGCAAGCUGACUCCUGCUGCCGCAAAGAGUGGUGGGCAAAAUGAUGGCAGCUCAUCUCAUUCACGCUUCUCGAGGUCUGCAAAACAGGGAAAAGGUAAGCAGGCCGUCAGCUCAGGUCCUGGGUCCCGAUCAGGACUUGAGCCUGGCUCUGUGUCAGGGGGUGGGCCUCCACCAGCAGCUAAACUGACCGGAGCACAAGGUUCAGUUUCAAAGGUUGGCUCAAGACUUAAAGUCAACACAUCAACCGCGGAUAAAGGAUCAGCUCGUGGUUCAGCAACGGCUCCAGGUGGCAAAACCAUGUCCAUGGAGAACAUCCAGUCUUUAAGUGCGGCCUAUGCCACUUCUGGCGCCAUGUAUCCCAACGAGCGGGAGUCCUUGGAAAACUCUGGUGGAUACCCUAAAAGUACCAUGACAUUAGGGCGGAGUACCAGCCGCUCGUCUUACACUGGUCGCAGUACAGCAAUUGGAAGCACCCCAAACAUCACGACCUCUGGUAUGCACCACAUAUCAGACUCUUGUGGAGACCCAACUGUGUUUUCUACAGGAACUUCCAGUUUGCGACGACAGUUUGGAAGAUGCACACAAACACUGGAUUCGGAUGAUCGGGGAGAGGUUUCCACCUGUGAUCUCCAGGCUCAGCUGAGGGAUCUGCAGAGAGAGAAUGAAAGUCUCCGGAGGGAACUGGAUGGAGGGAGGGAUGGAAAGACAGGCUAUGGCACGAAUAGUGUUAAUUUCUGGAGCCCUGAUGUAAAGAGAGACAAGGGGAGUAGGCGUGAAGAGGGAGUAAGGACGCCAGCUCUAAAGGAGCAGUGCAGAGUGAACCAAGAAGAUUUACAGCUGGGGGAUAUAAGAAGAAACAAGCAACUUCCUUUGACAGUUCAGGAGCUACAGGAGGAGCUGAGAGCUCACAGAGAGACGAACACUCGCCUGCGGCAACAGCGGCAGCAGAGCAGCUCCUAUCGAGAACACCAUAUGGACCAGGAGUUCAGAGGGGGGCUCAGUCCUGGCCACAGUCCCAGACAAAGUUCCAUAAACCUGCACAGUCCCGCACCUAAGAACAGCCCCAAAGCCAGUCCAUCGAACACCUACAAUCCAAGGCAACAAGAGGCUGACAUCAUCAUUCACAGUCCUGGCUAUGGGUGUAAUACAUUGGCAGCUACGCAGAGACUUAGCCCAGCCAACACCCUUCAGCCUGGGCAAAGGAACAGUCCAAGCCAGCCCCUCUACAGUCCUAGCCAGGGAGCACUGCCCAGCUCUAGCCCCCGUCAUCCAUGUAGCCCCUGUCAGGUGCCUGGGUGCGACGGCUUUUCUUCACCUCCUCCUCAGGAUCCAACAGAGGAAAACUUCUUCCGACUGCAGUCAGAACAUGAGCGUCAAGCCAAUGAGUUGUCCCUGCUGAGGAAAACUAUGGAAGAGAUGGAGAUGAGAAUCGACUCCCAGAAGCAGACGCUGGGUGCACGAGACGAGAGUAUCCAGAGGCUGCUGGAGAUGCUUCAGGGUCAGGGACAGUGGGGACGAGGACAGCGGACAGGCAUUAUUACCAUGGCAGCCCAGGAAGCUGAUGUCCACUUGGAGAACAUGCAUUUGAGAGAGGACACCAAGAUCUCUUCCCUGGAGAGAAACAUCAGAGACUUGGAGGAUGAUGUCCAGAUGCUAAAAACCACCGGCCUGUUGCACCCUAAUGAAAGGCAGGAUGAACUCAAGCAGGUGGAAGUCUACAAGAGCCACUCUAAAUUUAUGAAAACUAAGGAGCAGACAUUGUCACCAUGUGUGUCUUCCAUCAGACCAACUCCUACCUUCCUCAUGCCCACUCAACUGCCUUGGAUCACAGAACAAGAAGAAAUAGAGCAGCUGAAGCAGGAGCUGAACAGGAAGGACUCAGAGAUGCAGGCCCUGCAAACCAAACUAGAAACACUGACCAAUCAGAACUCGGACUACAAGCAACACAUCGAGGUGCUAAAAGAGUCGCUCGGUGCCAAGGAGCAGCGCGCCAACACACUGCAGACAGAGGUGGACGCUCUGCGAGUGCGCCUGGAGGAGAAGGAACAGAUUCUGACUAAGAAAACCAAACAACUGCAAGACUUAAGUGAUGAAAAGAGCACACUAGCUGGAGAAAUCAGAGACAUGAAGGACAUGCUGGACGUCAAGGAGAGAAAAGUGAAUAUCCUACAGAAGAAGAUUGAGAACCUGUUGGAGCAGUUAAAAGAUAAGGACAAACAGCUGGUUGGAUUGAGAGAAAGGGUUCAGGGACUUCAGACUGACUCAAGUAACACAGACACAGCUCUGGCCACUCUGGAAGAAGCUUUAUCAGAAAAGGAGCGAGUGAUUGAGAACCUCCGAGACCAGAAGGAACGAGAAGAAAGGGUGAGGCUUGAAGAGAUGGACCAGAUGAGGAGAGAGAACCAGGAACUGAAGGAAAAAUUGGCUGCUCUGCAACCCCCAAAGCUGCCUCAGAGCCAGGUCACUAACUCCAUCUUAAUCCAGAACCAGAGGCCUGAUGGGGAGGUUGAACCCAAAGUAGAUGGUUUUCCAGCAGUCAACCCCAUGACCCCAAAACCAGAGGAAACUGUCAGAAUCUGUCCAGACAUCGCAGAUCGUCUGAGGCUUCUCGAGCAGGAAGUGGCCCGCUACAGAGAGGAGUCUGGGAAGUCCCAGGCUGAGGUGGAGAGGUUAAAGGGAGCGCUUAAGGACGCCGAAGUGGACAAAUCGUGCAAGGAGAAGAAAAUUACUGAUCUUGAGAGACCUGGGCAAAUCAAGUCUCCAAAUAUCCAGAAGCAGAUUGUGCCUGGCGAGAUGAGGAAAGAUGCCUUGGCAGAUGGACAUCCACACUCUUUAUCACAGCUUUGCAAUUCCCAGGAUGCCAUGCGUGAGACGGCGGAGCGGAUAAUGGAGCUGGAGAAGGCUCUGAGGGAUACCAUGAACACCUCGGCCCAUAGGGAGGCCCUUUGGGCGCAGGAGGAGGCAGCCCGUGUUCAGGCCCAAAGACAGUUGGAGGAGCUGAUGGGAGCUUUAGAGAAGACUCGCCAGGAGCUAGAUGCCACUAAAGUACGUCUGUCCUCCACUCAGAAGUGCCUACAUGAUCGAGAUGGACACCUCAAUCAACUGCGGCAGGAGAGACGCAAACAGCUGGAGGAGAUUCUGGAGAUGAAGCAGCAGGCGUUGCUGGCAGCCAUCAGUGAGAAAGAUGCUAAUAUUGCCCUUCUGGAAUUAUCUUCUUCCAAACGCAAGAAAGCCCAGGAGGAGGUGAUGGCUCUGAAAAGGGAGAAGGACAGACUCAUGCACCAGCUCAAACAGCAGACCCAGAGCAGAAUGAAGUUAAUAGCAGACAAUUAUGAGGAGGACUACAUCCACCCCCAACAUCACCCUCAUCAUUUGCACCACAUGCAUACAGCAAAUUUGCAUCACCGGAGUCUGCCAAGAGGGGACCCACAUGCCAACCACCGACCUCCGAUGGAUCAGGAUGACGAAGAGGGUAUAUGGGCUUGAUGAGUACUAUCCAUAGGAACCUGCAUCUCAAUGGUGUCUACUUUCUCGGCGCUAACUCAUAUCCCUUAAGGUAAGCCUGGACCUCUGGUUAGCCUACUGGUUCAGAAACCUUGAUCAGAUAUCAACUGGGGAUAUGCAUUCAGUGAGUUGUGUAUGUGUGUUUAUAUUAGAACCUUUUAUCCCUUUCUAAUAGAAUAAACCUGGCACAUUAGUCUUUUAGUGGAGAGUGGUAUUGUGGCUAGCAAUAUCAACGCUGCUCAUCUAUCCGAUUCUGUUAUUCUGGCAGCACGCAGCACGAGUGCUGCUGGAGUGUAGAGCUAUCCUUUAUAGCAGAACAGAUGGGAGCCAUUCAGAGGUAUGUAGCUACAGCACAUAAGGCUGUACCUAAUCCCCAUAUCCUGUCCCUGAGUGAGCCCUCCCUAAUAUGAGCAAACAGAGAUGACAGCACAGAUAGACAAAUAGCUAAGAAUCUAUGUGCCUGAUAGAUUUGACUUCUGUUUCGUAACAGCACCAUUGAGUUCCGCUUCAACAAUGUGAUUUCCUUAUUAACUUUUAAAGUGUGAGUUACAGAUUGUUUAUCCAUGCCUCUCUCUCUGUAGAUCCUCAACUCUUAUUGGCUCAUUUAGGUUGUGUAUGUUCUGUUUUUGAUUACAGAGGUUUUGUUUACCUUCUAGCCUACUGGACUCCCUCACUAAUGAAAUAAGAAUGUCCUUUUAGAGACGCAGUGCAGAAGAAGGGGGGAUGGAGAUGCAUUUGGAAUCCCAAGAUUGAUUAGCUUCAGUUCCCAGGACCAGACGAUUUGUCUUCGUUUUCAGAUCCCAUUAAUAAAGCACAAAAGUUCAUCAGAUUGGGCUUUUAAAUGCUUAUAAAUAUCUACGUCAUUGAUACAGGUCACAUCCGUGGACAAAUGCAGUGUUUUGCUGGGGACCCAAGCUCCUUGUGGAUGAACCUCAUACCGCAGCUCAAUAUUGGCAAGUUUGCUCCUGCCUUCAAUUUCUGGGCUGUUUUCAAUAGACUGGGAGCUGGAUUCAUUUUGCAGUGCUGUGGUGCAACAGAGGCCUGACUUCAUAGUAACAAAGAGUCACAACAGUGUUGACGACUGCAAGCAAACUGAGGCCGAGCCAGAUGCGCGAGCCCCAGAUCCAUACCUGUUCAGGUUUAUGUUUGCAGGCUUGUGUUUACUUCUGGAGCUAAAUAUCAGACGUUUGUAAAUAUGACAACAUGGACCUCAAAAUCAACAACCCACUAAGACCUCCUCAAUGUAUGGUGCCAAAGGAAUUGCCGCAGUCCACUGGGAUAAAUAGAAAAAAGAUGAAACACCAACUGAUUCAACUCUUAUCCAAGACUUUCUACACUGCCCAAAUUACUUAACGGCGAUCUUAGUGUCUUGCAAAAGUAGUCCUGCCCCUUUGGAACGUAAAACACUUCAGUCAUGUUACAACCGAAAACUUAAAUGCAUUUUUUGGGGGAUUUUAUGGACCAAUAAACACUUUUUUUGUUGUUUUUUGAGAACCUUUUUUCUUGCUAUAAUCACUGUACUAAAAGCUGCAAGGCUUUUGGAGAGCCUUUGUGAUAUUGAAUGUCUAGUCUCGCCACGGUCUCACAAAUGGAUUUAGGUCUGAACUUAUGUAGCGUUCAUUUUCUAGUCCACACAGAACUGUGCAUAUUGGCUUCAAAAUUCUGUUUAAUCUCCCCUGACUAAAGCAAAUGACAUCAUAUUUGCUCUCUGCUCCUUGGUUUGUGGCAAACACACCACUGUCGGUUGGUUCUUAACAUAUAAUCCCAAUAAAAACAAACUAAACUGUGUUUGUAACAUGAUGAAAUGUUAAAAAUGUUCAAAGGCUAUAAAUAAUUUUUUUGAGGAAAGGCAUAGUAAAUCUACUGCACAGGCAUUAAAGAAAAAAGUGAACCUUGAUGUUCCCACAGAGAAAAUGAGAAUCCACUUAUACUCAAUCAAAAAGUCAGAACCUUAUUUACAGUGCAGAAAAGUGCAGUGUUUUUCUCCUUAUUAAUGUGUUCUGUUUGGUUUUCUGCAACUGAAGGAUCUGAGUGCCACUCUUAUUCUUUUCUUCUUUUUACAUCUGCUGUGUGUCUUAUGCUGAAGAGUGGUGUUUGUAUCGUCUAUUUGAUUUUGUGAAUUUCUGUGACUAACAACACUGAAGUGACUUGCAUUCCAAAUAACCAUAAUUUUUUUUCACUGUACUAAAAGUUGGUUUGAAGUGACAAUAUUGCUGUAUUGUUGUGAACUCAGCAGCUUCACAGUGUGUAAACGACUGAAUAUGUCCAGUAUAUGUGUAGGUGUGUGUGUGGUUGCGUGCGUGCGUGUGUGUGUGUGUGUGUGGUUGGGUCCUGCUCACUCAGUUGUAGUGACUGUGAAAGUCUGGGGGUAACAGUAUUCACCCUUGGCUCAUUCCACAAUGUUUGGCAGCUUUCAGUUUGUUCACGUUGUUUGAAUAAAACUUUUAACGUAAGUGGCAACAUGUGUUUUUAUCAGAAUGACAUCAGAGGCCUUGUUGGUAAAUUUCAUCACGAAGCUCUGCAUUUUCACAGGAUUAAAAUAUCGCCGCCUCCAAUGGCAGCUACAACAAUGGCCUGCUGCACAGGCUGAAAAAAAAAAAGACAAAUUCUUCCUAGUUUUCAUGGUCUACCAAUUCUCUCUCCCUCUACCUCAUAAACUCAGCCAGAUGUUGCCCAGUUUUCUUCCUCAGGCAACAUGGGGGGAUGGAAGGGGACGUAGUGAGACAGGGAGGUGGAAGAGAGAGGAGGGGCUGAGGGGAUCCUGAAAUGUGGCUGAGCAUGUUUUUAAGUGUUCUCUGAUGCAGUCAUGGCCCCCUAGCAUCCAACAUGGCUGGAACCAAAACUAUGGAGUCAUGGAGGUUUGAAAGCACUUUAUGCUAAAUUUCAAAUGCUAAUAAAGUUUCUGUUCUGUAGAGAUCGUUCUUAGGUUCUUUGUGAAAAAUCUGUUGCUUUUCCAGUUGGCAAAUCUGGAAAAGCAACAUUGAUCAUUUUCACUCACAGGAGCAGAAAGUGGUACUUACUCUUUGCAGCAAAUCUAUAGUGACAGGUUUUUAACAUUACCUUUUUGACAUGCAACCCUCUAUUUUGUCGAAACUGUAUAUGGAACAUUAAUAAAAUGAUAAAAGAAAUCAUGCACUUGGGUAAAUUUUGAUUGAAAAAAAUAUGCAUUAUUUCCACAUUGAUUUAAAGAGCCUAUAUUUAAAAUUAGUAACAUUAGUAAGCAUCUCAAAAACCCAUUAAAUUCUGUUUUUUUGUUUUUUUUAGCUGCCUGCAGAUCAACUUAUUUUGCAUUUAGCAUUGUAACAUGCUGUCUGAUCACCAGCUGAGCCUCAAUGUCAUAAAUUAUUUGAAUAUAUCAAAGUUUCUACAGAUAUUUACUAUGUCCAACAAAAGUCUUGUAAAAUACACCUGUGCAUGGCAUGGAAUAAGGUAUCUGGGACAUGAAUAUCACAACAAUGACUGAAAGACAUCACCGCAUCAUGCAGAUGUUCGGCUAACCUGGAGACAAGCCAUCACUUGCUUUCUGAAUAACAUGGCAAAUCAUUAUUGAGCAACUUGGAGUGACUCAUAAAGCAGCUGACCCUUUAAUGUGAAAAAAACAAAAAAAAACAAGACAGCAACGUCAUGAAUUAAUAAUGUGCCCAGUCGUGACACGCAAGAACCUCUUUGUGUCACUCCAUUGUUCUCAGUAUACAUGCACGUUUAACAGUGGAAGUGCAUGAAAGGCAACAAACAUUCAUCAAAACAUGACAGAAUUUGAUGUUCCACAAAAUAAUUCCACGUCAUACUUUUUUUUUUUUUUUUUUUAAAGCAUGAGCAAGCAUGG
Poecilia latipinna (sailfin molly) is the source of this 7762-nucleotide RNA transcript. It is a transcript of the gene named ELKS/Rab6-interacting/CAST family member 1-like, with no coding region annotated. Lineage: Eukaryota; Metazoa; Chordata; Actinopteri; Cyprinodontiformes; Poeciliidae. The record is from RefSeq and is a predicted model, not a curated record. The transcript has 21 exons.